This 372-nucleotide ribosomal RNA is filed under the name uncultured organism. RNAcentral's name for it is "bacterial SSU rRNA". It matches the Rfam family "Bacterial small subunit ribosomal RNA", at positions 526 to 896 of the family's 1533-position model. The record is from RNAcentral.
CGGAGGGUGCAAGCGUUAUCCGGAUUUACUGGGUUUAAAGGGUGUGUAGGCGGGCUAUUAAGUCAGUGGUGAAAUCUCCGAGCUCAACUUGGAAACUGCCAUUGAUACUAUUAGUCUUGAAUUCUGUUGAGGUAGGCGGAAUUCCAGGUGUAGCGGUGAAAUGCGUAGAUAUCUGGAGGAACACCGGUGGCGAAGGCGGCAUCCUGGACCGGUAUUGACGCUGAGGCGCGAAAGCCAGGGGAGCAAACGGGAUUAGAUACCCCGGUAGUCCUGGCCCUAAACGAUGAAUGCUUGGUGUGGCGGGUAUCGAUCCCUGCCGUGCCGAAGCUAACGCAUUAAGCAUUCCGCCUGGGGAGUACGGUCGCAAGGCUG